CCUAUGAAAUAUUUUCUAUUAAAAAAUAAUGUAGAAUCUGCCACCAGUUGACAUAGCACAAAUAAUAAAAUUAGCAAGCUGGAAUUUUAAGGGGGGUUUAUUCUUUAUAUUGAUAUUUAUUAUUACAAUAUCCAGUAAACAGGGAAGUUCCAACAACACUUACUGAGCUAUAAUAUCAUUCUCCAAUGCAUAUAAAUUUCAAAAAACAUAAUAUUGGAAGUUCAAUAAAUAUGGAAAAUACAUAAGGUCUCAUUGGCUUUAUAUUUUACUAAAUGGUUAUACGAAAUGACUAGAGCCAUCCCCCCCCCCUCUCUCCUUCCAAAAAAUAAAAAUAAAUAAAUAAAAAGGUAAGUUAAAUUAGAUAGUGGUAUUUCCCAAGAAAAAAUGACGACUAUACUUUUUCUUAUCAUGUUGUCAGGGUAGUCUUUUACUAUGUAUCAAAUAUGCAAGGAGAAAAAUCAAUAGGGUGUGAAUUGUGGUUGAAUGCAUAGAGAAGGAGGUGGCCAGGGACCAAGAGUGAGUUCUAUCAUCAGAAUGACUAGCUUGGUCAUCAGAGUGGAAUUGGUUAUACUGCUGCCUUUGUAAUGGUGGUAGUCGAAAAGCAAUUGGCCCAUAGAUUUGAUUACAAGUGGUGGCUGUAGUUUUUGUAUCCAAUGUAGCAUCAUAUUCAGGUGAUGGCCCCUAGACUCCUCCCACCACCAGGUACUGUGAUGCUUGUCUACUGUGAUAAUAAAUAAAAUGACCUGGUCGUCACCCAUGCAGCCUAUAUUUCUGCAAUGAAAGCACAAAGAUCUUAAUUAGAGCGUAAAUUUAUUGUAUAACACAAUUCAUUAUCUCCAAAAUAAGCGAUAUUCACUUGGCAAGAGCAACCCGUCAAGUAAAAAACUUCCAUAGCUAAUUCAAGCCAUUUUCAAUUUUAAAGAAUUUUUACAAGGAAAAUAUUUUGAUCGAACAAACCUGUAAAUGACUUUUUACUUCAAAAUUUGUUAGACCGUCAACCUUCAUCAAAUCCUUAAUUGUUUAGGUGUAGCAACUGUAUAAUAAGACGAACCAGAACAAUCAAUGCAAAAAUGAAGUCACAUGUAUCUUAGUCAAAGUUAAUUUGAUAAUAAAUUAUACUGUGUGAACCACCAAGUUUUUGAAGGGCUAGCAAGAAUUAUCUAUGUAGCAUAGAUGACCAACUCCUCCUAGGUUUUCUUUGAAAUUGUCCUUCCUUCUCAUCCUUAUUAUUUCCACCACCACCACCUAUCUCUUCCACAGAACUGAUGGCAACCAUUGGCACCGACAUUCUGAUUGGCCCUUGUGGAAUAGUUACAGUACUCCACUAGAAAAUACGUCUGGGUGCAAAUACAAUAAGUCCUCCACCAUAAUUCUUGCCGAAUAUCAUUUGCAUAAAUGCAAAAAGGGAUAUUAUAAGUUUAAAAUAAAUAUUACAAUGCCAAAAUCUAUGUUACAUUGAACGCAGAAGUUCGUGGCAAAAAAAUCAAAAGGAAAAAAUAAUUACCAGACCUUCUUUUGCACUAACAUGGAGCAGAAAUUUUUGACUUCUAGCAGCACAGCGUGCAUUGUUGGAAAAACACGAAGCACCAAAUCUAAACCUUCGUGUUAAGUAAAAAUGUACUAUCAGGGGGUAAAAAGAUCUACACCAUAGAAAAACUCUACCUAAUUUUUCUAAAACUAAAUAAUCUAAGUUUACUUUUAUUUGUCUCGUUUUCAGCAUCAAACAUUUUGUCAAAUGAGAACCAGACCUCCCCUCCUUUUCCUGUUCUACAGUUCUACACUGCAAAGAUAUCAUCAUACUCAAAAUCAGUUUUUGCUUCUUUACAUAUACAUUUGUUUAAUCUACAUUGCCAAUGAGAAAAUACCUGCAUUUUCAGGGAAUUUACACAUCUUACUAUUGAUUCAAGCUUCACAGGAUGUCUCUAUUUGGACAAGAUCUAUCCUUGAUUACUAAUGGAUCUUCCAAAGAUUUGUUAGCUUUAUUUAUAGAUUGCUUUCCAUUUGCUGGCCUCUUUGUGCAAUUCCUUGUGCCAUUAAAAACACCAUCUAAUGAUAAUAACCUUCGACUAGAAGCACAUGUAGUUAGAGAUUGUGAGGGCAUUACCAAGAAUU
This 2112-nucleotide long non-coding RNA is filed under the name Olea europaea subsp. europaea. The record is from RNAcentral. Lineage: Eukaryota; Viridiplantae; Streptophyta; Magnoliopsida; Lamiales; Oleaceae.